CACUGUGAGAAUGUCCUCACUUCUUGCUGGUCUGAGUCCUGCCCAUUGUGGCUCCUGUGUGAGUCCCUCUUGUCCAGGGUCUUCCUCUGUCACUGCCCCUGACUUUCCCAAACACAAGGGCCUUAGUUUCACUGGCUCUCGUUUUUCUCCUAGUUUCUUAAGGACUGCCAUUAAAUUCUUAAUUGAGGAGCUUCUGUCUUUUAAAAAAAAUGUGUUUACAGCUAUGAAUUUCCCUCAGAAUACUACUUUUGCUGCAUCCCACUAAUUUCACUAUAUUUGGUUUCCAUGUUUUGCUUUGAUCUUCUGGUUAGAGCGUAUCACUUAAUUUCCACAUCUGUAACAUUUCCAGUUUUCCUGCUGCUACCGAUUUCUCAUUUCACUCCACUGUGAUUAGAAAAGAUGUGUUGAAUGAAUGCAAUCUCUGUGAAUGUAUUAACAAUUGUGCUGUGGUCUAACUUAUGUUCGAUUCUGGAAGAUGUUCUAUGUGCACUGGAGAAGACUGUGUAAAGUUUUGCAUCUGAUUCUCAUGUCCCAGGAGGACCUGGAGGCCUCCCUGAAGGCAAAGAAGAGUCAGAUCCAGGAGACAGAGGCCCAAAUUAAGCAGCUUGAGGAAAAGACCCAAGAACUGGAGAAGGUGCUGCAGGAGAAGGAGGUGCUGCUCAGAAAACAGAAAGAGGCCUCAGCUCAGAACAAGAGCAGCAAUUCCAGCAGCUCCUCGGUGGCCACCGGGCUCCUGCUGCUUCUGUCCCUGGGUCUUGUGGUUGUGCUGCUCUGAGGUCCCACACCCCAGGAACUCUGAGGUUGCAGCCUUGAUGGUCCAUUUCUACUCAGCUGCCUUCUUAGAGGACCCCUUGAUGUGGCUGACCUUGGGGGAAGCAAAAGACAGUGUUAUAGGGAGCCUGGGGGUGGUAUUAUGGGAGGGAUAGAGUAGUAUUCUAGAAGACAUGGGGUCGUAUUAUGAGGGAUAGUAUUAUUGUAUUACUGGAGGAGAGUAUUAUUGGGGGAAUGGGGUACCAGCGGAGAACACAGGCUAACAUUAGAGGGCCCAGGGUAGUCCUGGGGUAAGAGGUAGAUAAGCUGGCCACAGGCUGCUUCCUGCAGAGCUGGCAGGGUGUGAGCCAUCUGGGGGUAGAAGCACAGGGUGGGGUUGCCUGGGUCCCUGCUGUGGUCAUUGGGAAUGUCACUCUAUCCUAUGUCUUCAGUCUCCAAAACAUAAUAAAACCUUCCUGCGAGGGAAAAAUCGGG
Molecule: long non-coding RNA, 1245 nt
Organism: Echinops telfairi (small Madagascar hedgehog)
Lineage: Eukaryota; Metazoa; Chordata; Mammalia; Afrosoricida; Tenrecidae
Exons: 4
Source: RefSeq, a predicted model, not a curated record